AUUGAACGCUGGCGGCAGGCCUAACACAUGCAAGUCGAGCGCGCGGCGGACGGGUGAGUACUGUAUGGGGACUGCCCGCUAGAGGGGGAUAACUCCUGUCAACGGUAGCUAAUACCGCAUACUAUCGGCUACCCCAUAUGGGAUUAGCUAGUAGGUGUGGUAAUGGCUCACCUAGGCGACGAUCCCUAGCUGGUCUGAGAGGAUGAUCAGCCACACUGGGACUGAGACACGGCCCAGACUCCUACGGAGGCAGCAGUGGGGAAUAUUGCACAAUGGGCGCAAGCCUGAUGCAGCCAUGCCGCGUGUAUGAAGAAGGCCCUAGGGUUGUAAAGUACUUUCAGUAGGGAGGCGUUACCGACAGAAGAAGCACCGGCUAACUCCGUGCCAGCAGCCGCGGUAAUUC
Molecule: ribosomal RNA, 403 nt
Filed under: uncultured bacterium
Lineage: Bacteria
Description: partial 16S ribosomal RNA
Rfam family: Bacterial small subunit ribosomal RNA
Source: RNAcentral